CCAGGACACUGUAACCAUCAUAAAUACAUGCCAGUUGCCAAGUAUUCAAAUUUUGUUCAGAUGACCGCAAGGAUAUUGCAAUGGUUGUUUCUGGGCUCAACAUCCUACCUAGCUUAGAUUUUGGAUCAGCUAUUUAUUUACGGCUGAGCUGAAACUGGUCAAGUUCUUCAGCUUCUUUACAGAUCAACUUAGACUGAUUCCUAAUGCCUUUAUUAUAUCAGCCAGGUGACUCUGAGAGCACAGAUAAACCUCCAUGUGGCCUGAACAACAUUCAGAGAGACUGCUAACCACCAGAUGGCUGCAAGAAAUAUAAAUCCUUCCAUUCUCCACCAUUCAAUUCUAACUGAAGAAGUUUCUUGGAUGAGAAGCAAAACGUCUUCAACAAAAACAAAGAAAACCGCCUUUGGCACAACUGUUACUUGAAUGAUUGAGAAUCUCCAUAGACGUAUGAUUUUAAAACCCUUUUUGCUGCAGU
Molecule: long non-coding RNA, 475 nt
Organism: Thamnophis elegans (Western terrestrial garter snake)
Lineage: Eukaryota; Metazoa; Chordata; Lepidosauria; Squamata; Natricidae
Exons: 3
Source: RefSeq, a predicted model, not a curated record